Amaranthus tricolor (Joseph's coat) is the source of this 992-nucleotide long non-coding RNA. RefSeq lists it as uncharacterized. Lineage: Eukaryota; Viridiplantae; Streptophyta; Magnoliopsida; Caryophyllales; Amaranthaceae. The transcript is spliced from 5 exons. The record is from RefSeq and is a predicted model, not a curated record.
CUUAUUUCUUAUUUUCUCCCUCAUGCUCUUUCUCUCUUUUCCCCUAAUUCUUCCCGUUCUCUCUCCUCACCCUCUCAACUUCACCAGUCCACCACCGCAAAUCAACCCUCUUCCUCAAUCCUCAUUCCACCAUCGAUAGCUAUUACUGCCAGAAAUCAAACCGCGGCGGCUCUCCCUCAUUCCUCCUCCAUCGCCGUGGCUUUUGUGGGUCGGCUUCGGGGAUUUCAUUGGUGAGUGGGUGGUUUUGGGUUUCAUUGCUCAAGUUUUAUUUCCCUGACAUAUCUCGCCAUUUUUUCUACCUCGCUCGACAACCAACCUAGCUUCGCCAAUCGAAGGUCAGUCAACCUUUUGCUUGUUGAACAUAUUAGAGUUGUUGCUUGCUCUUCCUCUUGGCGUCAGAGUGAGGACAUGGACGUGAAUUUGAAAGACUUGCUUGGAGUGGAACAAUCACUUUAGUAAGGGCAUCAUUGGGAUGAUGAGGGAACUCAAUUUGAAAGUGAAAGAAAUCGUUGCAAUCGACAAUUAGCGAGUGACAUGCACACCAUGGGGCCAACAUCAUAUGCAUACACUCGUGAACAACUGAAACAACAAGAUCCAAAAAAAGAUCCGUCAAAAGCAAAGGUGUACAUCGAAUCAAGGAAAAGGAAGCCCGGGAAGUCAUACAAAAUAAGCUUUGAUGAAAUAGAAGCAAAUAUUGAAAAUGGUGAAGCAGCUGAUGACAAGGAGGUGGAAAAUGAUGAUGAAAUUGAGCCGUAAAAGAACAUAUUUAGAAUUUUGUGUGGCUUUUGGAAACAUUUUGUGAACUUGUUUGUUCGAUACUUUUUAUUUAGACGUAAUGAUGUAUAGGUGAAUAUUUGGUUGCACUAGGUUAUGGAAGAAUUGAUCCUUAGUUUUUGAUAUAACAAGUUAAUCGUGUAAAUUUCUUAACUAUAAUAUUUGUAAUCAAAUUUCUAAUUACAUCUUAUGCUAUCAAUUAUUAAAAUUAUCAUUUG